GAUGAAGAACGCAGCGAAAUGCGAUAAGUAAUGUGAAUUGCAGAAUUCAGUGAAUCAUCGAAUCUUUGAACGCACAUUGCGCCCGCCAGUAUUCUGGCGGGCAUGCCUGUCCGAGCGUCAUUUCAACCCUCAAACCCCUCCGGGGGGUCGGCGUUGGGGACCUCGGGAGCCCCUAAGACGGGAUCCCGGCCCCGAAAUACAGUGGCGGUCUCGCCGCAGCCUCUCCUGCGCAGUAGUUUGCACAACUCGCACCGGGAGCGCGGCGCGUCCACGUCCGUAAAACACCCAACUUCUGAAAUGUUGACCUCGGAUCAGGUAGGAAUACCCGCUGAACUUAAGCAUAUCAAUAAGCGGAGGA
RNAcentral lists this unclassified non-coding RNA (358 nucleotides) under soil metagenome. RNAcentral's name for it is "partial contains 5.8S ribosomal RNA, internal transcribed spacer 2, and large subunit ribosomal RNA". The stretch from base 1 to 120 matches the Rfam family "5.8S ribosomal RNA", at positions 35 to 154 of the family's 154-position model. The record is from RNAcentral.